RNAcentral lists this unclassified non-coding RNA (269 nucleotides) under Scutellinia scutellata. Its description in RNAcentral is "partial internal transcribed spacer region". The stretch from base 1 to 46 matches the Rfam family "Eukaryotic small subunit ribosomal RNA", at positions 1786 to 1831 of the family's 1831-position model. RNAcentral also lists the same sequence under 2 other names. Lineage: Eukaryota; Fungi; Ascomycota; Pezizomycetes; Pezizales; Pyronemataceae. The record is from RNAcentral.
AAGUCGUAACAAGGUUUCCGUAGGUGAACCUGCGGAAGGAUCAUUAAAAGUAAUAUGUAUUCUCACGAAUAUACAUUAUAAACCCAUCUGUGUAUCUUACCUGUUGCUUCCGCGAGCCAGUGAUCUCGGUCACCUCCGCGGGAUGGCGAAAGCCGUCCUCCGGGGAGCACUCGCGGGGGGUAUACAUCAAACUCUUGCAUUUUUAUGUCAUCUGUCUGAACUGUUUAUAACAAAUGUUAAAACUUUCAACAACGGAUCUCUUGGUUCUC